This is a long non-coding RNA of Bos taurus (domestic cattle), 419 nucleotides long. The record is from Ensembl. NCBI's taxonomy places the organism in Eukaryota, Metazoa, Chordata, Mammalia, Artiodactyla, Bovidae.
AUUCUCCAGGCAAGAACCCUGGAGCGGGCUGCCAUGCCCUCCCUCCUCCAGGGGAUCUUCCCCACCCAGGGAUCGAACCUGCGUCUCCUGCAUUGCAGACAAAUUCUUUCCCGGCUGAGCCAUCAGGGAAGCCAGGCUUCCCCGAGGCGCAGUUAGUAAAGAAUCCGCCUGCAAGGCCGGAGACCCCGGUUCAAUCCCUGGGUCAGGAAGAUCCCCUGGAGACGCAAUAGGCUCCCCACUCCAGGAUUCUUGGGCUUCCCUUGUGGCUCAGCUGGGAAAGAAUCCGCCUGCCAUGUGGGAGACCUGGGUUCCAUUCCUGGGUCAGGAAGAUCCCCUGGAGAAGGGAAAGGCUACCCACUCCAGUAUUCUGGCCUGGAGAACUUCAUGGACUGUAUCAUCGAUGGAGUCGCAAAGAGUCG